GCAGUCGAACGGUAACAGGAGAGAGCUUGGCUCUCUUGCUGACGAGUGGCGGACGGGUGAGUAAUGCUUAGGAAUCUGCCCAUGUAGUGGGGGACAACUCCGGGAAACCGGAGCUAAUACCGCAUAAGCCCUACGGGGGAAAGCAGGGGAUCUUCGGACCUUGCGCUAUUGGAUGAGCCUAAGUCGGAUUAGCUUGUUGGUGGGGUAACGGCCUACCAAGGCAACGAUCCGUAGCUGGUCUGAGAGGAUGAUCAGCCACACUGGGACUGAGACACGGCCCAGACUCCUACGGGAGGCAGCAGUGGGGAAUAUUGGACAAUGGGGGCAACCCUGAUCCAGCAAUGCCGCGUGUGUGAAGAAGGCCUGCGGGUUGUAAAGCACUUUCAAUUGUGAAGAAAAGCUGAAGGUUAAUACCCUUCAGUCUUGACGUUAACUUUAGAAGAAGCACCGGCUAACUCUGUGCCAGCAGCCGCGGUAAUACAGAGGGUGCGAGCGUUAAUCGGAAUUACUGGGCGUAAAGCGCGCGUAGGCGGUUUGAUCAGUCGGAUGUGAAAGCCCCGGGCUCAACCUGGGAAUUGCAUUCGAUACUGUCUAACUAGAAUGUGGUAGAGGGAAGUGGAAUUCCAGGUGUAGCGGUGAAAUGCGUAGAUAUCUGGAGGAACAUCAGUGGCGAAGGCGACUUCCUGGACCAACAUUGACGCUGAGGUGCGAAAGCGUGGG
This 720-nucleotide ribosomal RNA is filed under the name uncultured Gammaproteobacteria bacterium. RNAcentral describes it as "bacterial SSU rRNA". It matches the Rfam family "Bacterial small subunit ribosomal RNA", at positions 57 to 765 of the family's 1533-position model. The record is from RNAcentral. Lineage: Bacteria; Pseudomonadati; Pseudomonadota; Gammaproteobacteria.